GUGCUUGCUUCGGCAGCACAUUUACUAAAAUUGGAACAAUACAGAGAAGAUUAAUAUGGCCCCUGCACAAGGAUGACAUGCACAUUCGUAAACCGUUCCAUAUUUUU
Molecule: small nuclear RNA, 107 nt
Organism: Trichechus manatus latirostris (Florida manatee)
Lineage: Eukaryota; Metazoa; Chordata; Mammalia; Sirenia; Trichechidae
Source: RefSeq, a predicted model, not a curated record